GCCUGCUUAGCUCAGUGGUAGAGCGCGUCACUUGUAUAUCAUGUGAAUUCAUGAUCUGCAUGACGAGGUCAGUCGUUCAAACCGGCUAGUUGGCA
Non-coding RNA from Russula brevipes, 95 nucleotides. The record is from the annotation of a GenBank genome assembly. NCBI's taxonomy places the organism in Eukaryota, Fungi, Basidiomycota, Agaricomycetes, Russulales, Russulaceae.